This 23-nucleotide small nuclear RNA is filed under the name Arabidopsis thaliana (thale cress). RNAcentral describes it as "snRNA_00660". Lineage: Eukaryota; Viridiplantae; Streptophyta; Magnoliopsida; Brassicales; Brassicaceae. The record is from RNAcentral.
AUAAAACAUGGUCAACGGAUGUG